Sinocyclocheilus rhinocerous is the source of this 271-nucleotide long non-coding RNA. RefSeq lists it as uncharacterized. NCBI's taxonomy places the organism in Eukaryota, Metazoa, Chordata, Actinopteri, Cypriniformes, Cyprinidae. The record is from RefSeq and is a predicted model, not a curated record. The transcript has 3 exons.
UUCACGCUUUCGCUACGUCAUUGCUCUGCGCCAGAGUCGCUUGUGGCUCUUUUCAUUGAAACGUUAACACCAUAACUAAGCUUCUGGACGUGAUAAAGAUGCCUCUGCCUCCUGCUUUACUUGCGCGCCUCGCUAAAAGAGGCAUCGUGAAACAGUCUGACCACGAGGCUGAAGAGGAGAUCAUCGCUGAAGACUAUGAUGAUAACAACGUUGAUUAUGAAGCUACAAGGCUUGAAAAUUUACCAACGAAUUGGUACAAAGUUUUUGACCC